This is a non-coding RNA of Myodes glareolus (Bank vole), 764 nucleotides long. The record is from RefSeq and is a predicted model, not a curated record. Lineage: Eukaryota; Metazoa; Chordata; Mammalia; Rodentia; Cricetidae.
UCCGAUUUCUUACAGCAUGAAGAAGACCAGUCAAGGAGUGCCGCAUACCAUAGUGAGUGUAGUCCUUCCACAUCAAUCAAGAAUGGAGAAAAUACCCAGAUUCUUCCUGGUUAGUCAUGACCUGACACAAGACCCUCACUGAUGGGAUUCCAACGUGAAGGGAAACUUCUUCCAACCACUGCUUUCAAGCUGUUGUCAUGAGCACCAUUUUGAAUUAGGUGGGACAAAUGACAUGACCCAGCCCACCCCCACCUCCUGACUGCCCCAUCAAGAAACAGGCAUGGACAAAAAAGAACACUCAAGAGAUACUUUUAGAUACAGUUAGUUAACACAGAGUUAAUGUCCACUGGGAAAUUAUCUGGAGUGAGCCUGACCCGGUGAAGUGAAUGAAUGAUACUUCUUUUAAAAGGGAGUCGGAUAUUUGAAAUUGUCUUUAUGGGACCUGACACUAGGUAGGGCAUACAUACCAAACAAACAAGGGAGUUGAGAGAACAGACAGCUUCUUCUCUUUUCUUGACCUUACAGAAGCAUGGUGCCAGUGAGUUCUACAGCUGCUAACAGCCAUGUGAGGUUGAAAGGAGACCUCCUUCGUCGUGCUGUUUGCCGUCAGCAUUACUUAUCUGUAUCUGAUUUCUUCAUUGUGGUUUCUAUGGGCGGGGAUUUUUUCAUCUGUUUUGUUCGUUAACAAAUGCUUUAGUGCUUCAAGCAGUGACGAUUGCAUAUCAAGUAGUAAUAAAUAUUUGUCACAUGAAGAGGUGCAUGAA